Molecule: long non-coding RNA, 6751 nt
Filed under: Sus scrofa (pig)
Lineage: Eukaryota; Metazoa; Chordata; Mammalia; Artiodactyla; Suidae
Description: lncRNA (ENSSSCG00000057738.1)
Source: RNAcentral
UGUCUAAUAAGGGCAAAUGUCCUCAGCAUACGUCUAUCAGGAGAGUUUAGGAUAAAACCUUUGUAUGCAGUCCAUACUAUUUAGUUCCAAAAUAAAUUGUGUGUGACUUCGUGGAGAAAAAAAGUCCUCAGCAAAAAGAGUUCUUGGGAAGCAAAUGAAGAGUGAAGCACAAAGCAGAUGCACAGAUCGGGCAGCUUCGCAGAAUCAAAGGGUGCUAGUUAACACAUUGAGACACUGCUUCGACUUCCAAUCAGCCAAGAUAAAAACAAAAAGAGCCAGAACCAGGGCCCGGCUGAGCUGCGCUGGCCUUUCAGGAAGAUGCCUGGCAACCUGCAUCCGAAGCCUUCACACUGGUCCGGCCCUCGGAGCCAGUAAUGUUCCCUCGAGCAAACAAUCGGGUUUGUGCAGAACAUGCCCUGAGAAAACGGAGAAAAGCCUCCUAUGUUGAAAGCAUCCUUUCAACAGUAAAUCAGAAAAAAAUCAUACUCAGAGAACAGAAUCAUGUUUGGUGGAAAAAUAAGCUCAACCCAUGAUUUCUGAAGAGACGCAGGCUGCCGCUGACUCCCAGGGGAGAGUCAGUCCGGUCCGUGUAACCAAUUCGAUGAGGCAGGAAAGUCCGCGAGACGUUUUAUAAACAGUCCACUGGGGGUGGACAGGAGACAAAGGCGGGGCUUGCGUGGGUCAGGUGCCGGUUACCAGCACGGGAUUCGUUCGGACAUCCCAGGUACACAGGAGUCCCAGGGACGGCAGCUGGCUGCACCGGGGCAGAGGUUUGGCACUCACACCCUCCCAGCCGAACUCCCCUCCAAGAACACGCCCAAGUCAUUCUCCAGGCUGGGUUUGUAUAACUGUAUCAGCAUUUCCAGCAAGACAGGGUGUCUCGGAGCUUUUCAUCUGUAAAGUCCACCGAACUGGAUGUGGUUGGUUCAACGGUGACAACCUUUAGGCACAGCAAAAAACCAUGAAAGUGCCAUGAUGGGUUGGUCAUUAGGAUGGGUGAGGGGCUCUCGGGAGGCAGGUUAGGAUGCCUAGAUACACAUUCAUAGGAAAAUGGUUAAAAUAACUAUGCAAACUGUAAUAAUAAUACAAUAAUAUGGAGCCAUGAAAAUAAUAAGGUAACUGCAGACAGACCAAGAUGAGCCUAAGCGACCACAGCUUUCCGCAUCCUACAGGGCCAGGUUGAACACACGUGCAUGAGUGGGAGGCCAGGCCUGAUGCGUGCACAGGAAGACAACGGCACACAAGAAUAGUCAGGAAAACUCGGGGAAGUGAACAGCGAAGGCAGGGCUACUCCUACCACAGAGUCAAGCACAGGCCCACGACAUUCCAAACUGGAACUGGCACACGGACGGACAGAUAAAUGGUAAACAGGUGCAUUCCUCAGCACCUGCGGUGGGACAAUAGGCAACUAGCCCUCAGUCACUCAUCAUGGCAAAAUUAAGUCCAGAUAGAGCUGAGGUUCAAAUAAUAAUAAAACCUUAAAAGUUCUCAGCAAAACACGAGGUUUAACAAAAAAUCAUCUUGAGUGUGAUGAGUCUUUCUGAACUAUUCAUAAAAUCCAGAAGUCAUAAAACAUUUAUAAGUAUAAAUAUACUUAAGACUCUGAGAAGCAAAAAUUUAGCCUAACAUUUAAAGAUCAAUGACAAAAAAAUUACAAAAAAGGUCAAUGGAAAAUGGUAUUUGUGGCACAAACCACAAAGGGUUAACUUCUGUACUAUGUAAAGUGCUCUUUAAAAAUCCCUAAGUAGACAUCCCGAUAGAAAUACACACUUCAAACCUGCACGUGAAAUACUGCUUUCACGUCUCAUAUUGACAUUAAAUAACCAAGGUCAAGAACACAGAGCUGGUAAAGGUGCCAGAAAUGUCAAGCAAACCGCCUCCCUGGAGUGUAAGCUGCAGCUCCGGCCAGGUUAGAAAAGCCCAGGGCUGUGGCCCAAACCCCUCAAAGGAAACGUUCCCCAGAGACACCGCUGCCACGUACGUAAAACCCAGGGAGGAGACAGGCACUCGGAACAGCCUCACACACAGUGGAAACUGCUAAAAAUCAUGUAACUGUACCGCGAAAUGGGAAUGGGGAAUUCGAACAGGGAGCACCACGCAGACAGCGAGGCGCCGCGGGCAGCCCCUGAAUACAGCGAGCUCCGCCAUGUGCUGUUAACUGAACCACCCAGAGGGCAAGACAGCGCACGGGGGACAGCAGGACCUCAGAGAUCACGUCGGCAGAAUUCCCCAGAAAGAAAGUCCAGCAACUAACUGGCCCAAGGCCCGCCUCUGUGGGAGGGAGACGGGGUUAGAGAAAGACGUCCCAGCAUCUCCUCCGGGCCUGAAUUACUGCAAAAGCUUUUUACUCCUUUAAGUUAAAAAACUUAGAAGAGCCUUUGCCCUUGGAGUCAGCACAGGGCAGAGGCAGGGCCUUGCUCUGACAUACAGAUAGCGGGUCACACAGUUGUCAUGUCAAGACAAAGGGGGACAGUGCACUCAUCACCUGAGGCCGAGGGGAGAGAAUAAUGCUAGUGGGACAGGUCCCGGGCCUGCAGUUCCCAACAUCAGCUCCUCAGGACCUGCGAGGUGAAUGAGAGACAGGGCGCGUCCAUACCUGUGCUCCUGGCAUUUGGCGGCCUCUUCCAGGAGAGAGCAUGUACUUAAAGAACCGGAAGGCAGCCCAGGUUGUGCUGAGCAGGCAGGAGAUGGGCAGCUGUGCCCUCAUCCAAUCUCUCCUUUCCUCUUAGGACUAGAAAUGCCCACAGACAGAUGCCAGGUGGGAAGACUUCAACAGACCAAACCUCCAACCAGUGAAACAAUUCAAUGCUACUUUUCGCAAAUGUCACAACUGCUUUCCUAGAAGAGUUUGUCUUUCAACCUGCUUAGAGACUCUGAGGCUUGUUAGGCCCGUUCUUGCUUCGUGCUACCUAAGUCAGACACCGUCUCACGUGAAAAUCUGGUAUGGACAAGCAGUUUGCACAACUCAACAGUUUUAACUCAGUUUCAUAGCACAUUAGGAACAGGCCAACGUUAUUCCACUUUGGCAGCAGAAACUCUCAACCCAUCUCACAAGACUGAGAGCCCCAGACCCAGACAGCACAAGGAGGGGAGCGCUGCGGGCCGGGCAGGGCCGGGCCAGAGCACAUGAGAAUGCCGGGGGCGCGCACGUCCUGCAGGCAUUAAGAUCCCAGCGCUCGCUUAGCAGGUGCACAAGGAGUUGCUCCUAAGAAGCUCACGGCAGCACUGUUUGCAAUGGUCAGAAAACCCCAGAAAGAUGGAUUGUAUUUCAAUAAAAGUGUUAAUAAUAAUUAAAAAAAAAGAAAACCCCAGAAGUAAUCUUAAAAGCUCACCAACAGGAAGAUGGUUAAAAUACCUACACCAAAAUGUGCAAGGUGAAAUGUUAUGGAGCCAAGGAAACAACAAAUUAGUCACAAAACAGUAAGUACAUAUUGUACGCUUCCAUUUUAGGGCAGGGAGUAUAUUAGGAUAAAUCGUACCAUGUCCCUGGAGGGGGAAAAAAGGUCUGAAGGAAUAUAAAUGAAGUUAUCACUCAGUAAUUAUUCUUGGGAGAGGAAUAAUAGAGAAUAUUUUAUCUUCAUUGUUUUUCUACAAUGUCCUAAGUUUUAAAUAGAUUAGUCAUUUAUAAAGAGAUUAAAAUAAAUCCUGCCACAAACAUACACUCAAGAGUCCCCACAUUACAACACUACAUAUGGUAUAAUAACAUUAGCCAUGAACUUACCUAAAUUUGCCAAGUUUUGGUCCCUUUGACAGUGGCUGCAGAGUGUUCGGCUGGGCAUCCUCACAACAUGAGUAAUUAAAAAAAAAAUCACACCUCGAGAAAAUUAAAAAUGAUUAUGUGGCUUGGACUCUGGGAUCCCUAUGAGCAUUAAGUCCACAAAUGUUAAACCCACAGAUGUCGAGAGUCCAUUGCACCCACCGAAGUCUCUGUGGCUCACUGUGAAUACGCCGCCCGUCAAAGCAGGCAGAAAUUUUCGAGCUUGCUACACAGAGUGUCCAAGAGGGGUGGACAAACAGACACUCGCAGUCGGGGAUGCGAUCCCCACGCCCACGCCGGAGGCCCGCAGGGCGAGCUGAGCGCUGACCCGGCCUGUGACCCAGCAAUUCUGCAUCUUGGUACCGGAGAAACAGCCACGUGUGUGCAUACGGGGCGGGUAUGAGGAUGAUUCCACGGCAUCCAAAGGCACUGGAAAGCGUGUAAACGUUGAUCGGCAGCAGAACAGCUAAAGAACUCACAGACUGUUCCAGAAAAAGAACACCACGCAGCCGCUUAGCACGACAACAGCAGCCUGUGGGUGCUCUCUGACCCCCCCCUCGCUAAGUGAAAAAAGCAAGUCAGUAAUGAUAUAUGAUCUAGAACAGUAUUUUCCACUUACAUGGAUGUUUUUAUAUUAGAUGUAGAUAAAAAUGACUAGAAAAAGGUGUGGCAGCAAACAGCCAGCUGGGGGUGGGUGGGGUACUGGUAGUGCCCACCUGUCAGUCAGGCUUUAAUUCUGUUCACAAGAGCGUCCACCAAUCACUUACCUAUUUCCCUUAAAAUAAGAGAAGCAGCGGGAAACAUCAGUUAACCGCGUUAUAGUCACAAGAGACUCCAAGUGAACACACACGGUCAAGAGUGAAUCUUAAUACUGGUAAAGGAGAAAAGCUUCAGAAGAUUUGAUACGAUGUAAUACCUUUUCUAUAAAGUUAAAAACAACUAAAAUGAAAACAGUUUAAAAACAUUUAGGUAAGUUUUUUUUCCAAAGUUCUAUGAAAAGAAAGCAAGUAAAAGAUAACCCCACCUUCAGGGCCAUGAUUACGCCGGCCCAGGGGAGGCAGCGGGGAGACUUGGGGAGGAGGUGGGGACGGCGACGACGACACAGGCAGAGUAAGUAACUGGCCAAAGUCCUGGUUUAUACACCGAAGAGAAGAUUCAGCAUGUGCACCACAUUCUUAAAAACACCGAGGAACCAAAGAAGAGCCAUGUUAUGUCUGGAACCAAGGACUAACCGCAUUCAGUUCCGACAAGGAGACAGAAGUCUUGCCCUGAGGAGUAUCACAGCUUCCACUCUGACUUCAGAACAUAAGGAGCAUUUUAUAACAUAAUGAACAGUGACAGUCAUUAAAAUUCAUUGUAUUUGAUGAGAAACAAAAACUAGAGAUUAAAAUUUUGAGAAACAGAUUCAGGCAGAUAAUUAUUAAGCUAAUAUUGACAGAUCUAGAACAAAACAGCAAUGACAGUAUUUACUCAAUUAAAAAAGUAUGAUAUUUCACCUUUGCCAGUGUUAAGGAAUUAAUUACAUACGCUCCUGGGUUGGAUUCCUAACACCGUAAAUGGAGCAGAGCACCCAGUGUAAUGGGGGAGGACAUGCAUGUUUAGUUACUAAAGAAAAAUGUAAUUAGAAGCAAACCCAAUAGUCUCAUUAGAUAUUAUCAGACUUAUCACAUCAAAUUUUUAAUACUCUUUGUAUAAGAGAUAGCUUUGUACACAACAAAGAUAAGAAAAAAUGAGAGUAAGUUUGACAAUCACCAGCAAAAGCUUCCCUUCCCAACUCUACAAAGAAUUCAUGAUCUUUAUAAAAAUCAACAUGGUUGUUUUACAAUGUAAGUAAAUGGUCAAAGCAGAAAAAUGCAGCUGAUAAACCAAGUGGCAAAAUAGACUAGACAGUAAUUACAGAAAUAAGACUGAUUACUAAAGAACUUUUAAGAGCAGCAAUAAAUACUUCAUAACAUUGGAUUUGGCAACAUUUUCUUGGACAUGACACCAAAAGCACAGGUAACAAAAGUAAAAACAGAUAAACUGAAUUACAUCGAAAUUAAAAGCAUCAAAAGACACAAUCAAUAGUGAAAAGGCAACUCUGAAAUGGAAACAAUUUUUGUAAACCACUUAUCUAAUGAAGGGUUAGUAUCAGAAUAUAUAAAUAACUCCCACAAAUCAAAACCCAAAAAACCUGUUUUGUUUUUUUUGUAAUGGGCAAAAGACCUGAAGAGGCAUUUCUUCAAAGCUGAUACACAAAUGACCAACUAGCAUUUGGAAAGAUGUUCAACACCACUAAUUAUGAGGGAAGUUCAAAGCAAAACCACCAUGAAAUCCUUCAUACCCAUCAGGCUGCUAUAAAGAAACAAGCACUGGUGAAGAAGCGGAAAAUGGGAACCCUUGUCAACUGUUGGGAGGAGGGUAAAAUGGUGUAGCUGUUAUGGAAAACAGUAUGGCAGUUCCCUCCAAAAUGCAGCAAUACCACCUAUAUACCCCCAAAGAACUGAAAGCAGUGUCUCCAAAAGGUAUUUGUACACCCAUGUUCAUAAGCGCAUUAUUCACAGUAACAGAAGUGGAACAAGCCAGGUGCUCACGGAUGGCUGAAUGGAUCGAUAAGACGUGGCGCGCGUACCACGGGACGCUCUUCUACAAAGGGAAGCAUCUUGAUAUGUGGAAUAACACACACGAACCUAGAGGAGAUCACGGAGUAAAAUAAGCCAGUGCCGACAAGACAAACACUAUAUGGUUCCACUUAAUAAGAGGUGCCUAAAGUUGUCGAACCCAUAGAAACAGAGAAGUAGAAUGGUGGCCGCCAGGGCUGGGGGAGAAGGGAAUGAGGAGUUUCAGGGGCACAGAGGUUUCAAUUUUGCAAGCUGAGAAAGUUUCGGGGAUUGGUUAUAUUCACAACAACGUGAAUAAACUUAACGCUACUGAAUUGUACACGUUAAAAUGGUUAAGAUGGUGACAUUUGUGUUGUGUGUAUUUUACCAUACAAUAAAUAAAACAGAAAAACCU